Molecule: long non-coding RNA, 360 nt
Organism: Gekko japonicus
Lineage: Eukaryota; Metazoa; Chordata; Lepidosauria; Squamata; Gekkonidae
Exons: 3
Source: RefSeq, a predicted model, not a curated record
GGUGUGAAAAGCAGUAGGGAGCGUGUGGGAGAAAGAUAACUUGAUUUUGAAAAUUAUGCGAAGGUCACUCAAGACAACCGUGACCUGUCAUAGCAACCGCCGGCGAGACCUAGGAAGACUGCAAACCCCAGAGUACAACGCGGUAAAGGGGAUUUGGUACAUAGGCUAUCCCGCGGUCUCACAGACGUAGAUUCCGCCUAAAAGGAAGCCCCAAGCGGCUCCCCGACGUUAUGAGCACUUCCGGUCUGAAAAAUAAGCGCCGUUUUCUCACUUCGAACUUACUUCUAAGGGGUUUUCACCAUAGACGCGCGUCGCACAGUGGUGUACGCCAUUUCCGGGUGGAGUGCGUGCGGCGGCGGC